ACAAAUCAGCUGACAAGCCUAACAUGAAAUAAAAACGCCAAAACGGUCAUGCAUUUGUUUUGCAGACGAAGUCGAAGUCAAAGUUUCAGUAGAGAGAUCUCAAGCAAGGUGUGCAUUUCCCUGUGAUCUAUUUGCCUAUAAAUGUGAGUCUCUGGCAAGAAUGCAAAUUUUAGUGUUUAAUCGGAAUAAACAUCAUCAAGACUAUCAUAUAAAACACAAGUCAGGUUUCACUUAGUAUUCAUAUUGAAAAUGCCUUCCUGGUAUCCGGAAGGCGACGUUAGCCGAUGGCCUCAACUCAACUACACAAAAUGUUCAUGAACGAACCCCACGGCAUUUACUCCGCAAUCCAGCAGUGAUCAACUAGUGUGAACCCAGUUUUCAGUGUGUUCCAGCGUCACACACGGCAAGACACACGAACCGGAAGAGCAUCACUCGACAUUCGAAGAUGAAUUUCGAGAUGGCCGGAGCUGAGAGGAAGAUGACAACUUGGGCCGGCCUGGCUCUCAUGGGCGUCCGAUUCGGCGCUUUAGCCUGUCUCACUUGGGAGGAAUACAGCUGGGAUAUUAUGGAACCCAUCACGUACUUUGUGACUGUUAAGUCAUAAUCCAAUUAUUGAAGCCCUCAUCAGUUCCAGUUCUUUGCUGCCACUAUAUUGUGGACUGCGAGUGAAUGCUGCCACUCUAGAGGUUGCAGAGACCACCAAAACAAGUUCUCAUUUAAGACGAUCU
Molecule: long non-coding RNA, 728 nt
Organism: Daphnia pulex (common water flea)
Lineage: Eukaryota; Metazoa; Arthropoda; Branchiopoda; Diplostraca; Daphniidae
Exons: 3
Source: RefSeq, a predicted model, not a curated record